Molecule: long non-coding RNA, 1779 nt
Filed under: Homo sapiens (human)
Lineage: Eukaryota; Metazoa; Chordata; Mammalia; Primates; Hominidae
Description: PREDICTED lncRNA (TCONS_00237882)
Source: RNAcentral
GCGCCUGUUCAGGUCAUCGCUUGCUCUGGUUCCCAGGCUUUGGCCUCUAGUGGACGAGAAUCACCGAGUCUGCGGGGCUAGACGCUGACCGCCCGGGCCAGCACCUAGGCGGGCGGGAGCUGUGCGGCCCAGGGUUCGCGCGGGCCGGGUAGAGGCUCGAGCCAGGACCCCCGAGCGUGAACCCCGGAGCCGGCGGCGCUGGGGCCAGAGGGGCCGGGCGGGAGGUGAUGGCGGAGGCGAAGGGGCGACGGGACCUGGGCCUGGCCCGUGUGUGUCCUCAGAGGCCUGGCGCCGGCCGUCGCUGUACGGUGAGCCCCAGGGAGGCGGAUCUGGGCCCCGAGAAGGACACCCACCUGGAUUUGCCCCAUAGGCCCGGCCCGGGCCCCUCGGGAGCAGAACAGCCUUGGUGAGGUGGACAGGAGGGGACCUCGUGAGCAGACGCGUGCGCCAGCGACAGCAGCCCGCCCCGGCCUCUCAGGAGCCGUGGGGCAGAGGCUGCGGAGCCCCAGGAGGGCCGGAGCCCUCAUGACUUCAGUGACCUGCUUCUGCCCCUCUAGGUCUAUCAGCCACAGUCUCUGCAAGUUUCCAAGAGCAGCAGAAAAUGAACACAUUGCAGCUGCUGGAGGAGGUGAAGUGGCAUCGAUGUCAUCUUUGAAAAGUUUCUACUUUGUCCCUUAAUGCCACCCUAACGUAUGAGCCUCUGCUUCAGAGGUUUGCAAGCCUGGCUGCGUAUUAGAGUCACCUAGGAGCUUAAGUGGCUUUUGAUGCAUUUCCAAGUAGAAUAAGGUCACACCUGGGUCCUGAGCUGGCGCCAUCACCGGAGACGCCAGGUGAUGUCCAUUCAUCAGAAAUAAUGAGCAAAGCAGCUGUGGCUUCUAAUCAGCCCAUCCCUCCAGGGUGUCAGAUGGAGGCCAAUUAGCGGACGCACUAGACAACCAAAUUCUGCCUUUCCAAGCAAAACAUCAGAAAAUGUUCUAGCCCUUAGCAUUGAUGCUGGAACCCAGUGUCUUGCUUCUGCUUGGGUUUUCAUGAUCUUUCCUUGCUCUGGGUGAGCUGGGGGCUGGUUCUACAUCAGAACCUUCAGAGGCACUAAGAAAUGCCACCUGGAGUGGAGUUAAAGAAGUUAUUAUUUUUUUUUAACUUCUACUAUUGUCAGAGGCGGGUGAACCAGAGCAACUCCAUUUUGAAUAGGGGCUGGAUAAAAUGAGGCUGAGACCUAUUGGGCUGCAUUCCCAGAUGGUUAAGGCAUUCUAAGUCACAGGAUGAGAUGGGAGGUUGGCACAAGAUGCAGGUCAUAAAGACCUUGCUGAUAAAACAGGUUGCAGUGAUGGCCGGGCGCGGUGGCUCACGCCUGUAAUCCCAGCACUUUGGGAGGCUGAGGCGGGCGGAUCACGAGGUCAGGAGAUCGAGACCAUCCUGGCUAACACGGUGAAAUCCCAUCUCUACUAAAAAUACAAAAAAGUAGCCGGAUAUGGUGGCGGGCACCUGCAGUCCCAGCUACUCGGGAGGCUGAGGCAGGAGAAUGGCGUGAACCCGGGAGGCGGAGCUUGCAGUGAGCCGAGAUAGCGCUACUGCACUCCAGCCUGGGUGACAGCAAGACUCCGUUUCAAAAAAUAAAUAAAUAAAUAAAUAAAUAAAUAAAUAAAACAGGUUGCAGUGAAGAAGCCGGUUAAAACCCACCAAGACCAAGAUGGCGACGAGAGUGACCUCUGGUCGUCCUCACUGCUACACUCCCACCAGCUUCAUGACAGUUUACAAAUGCCAUGGCAACGUCAGGAA